GUAUUAGGCAACAACCUUUCCUCCUCGCUGAAAGUGCUUUACAACCCGAAGGCCUUCUUCACACACGCGGCAUGGCUGCAUCAGGGUUUCCCCCAUUGUGCAAUAUUCCCCACUGCUGCCUCCCGUAGGAGUCUGGACCGUGUCUCAGUUCCAGUGUGGCUGAUCAUCCUCUCAGACCAGCUAGGGAUCGUCGCCUUGGUGAGCCAUUACCUCACCAACUAGCUAAUCCCACCUGGGCAUAUCCAAUCGCGCAAGGCCCGAAGGUCCCCUGCUUUCCCCCGUAGGGCGUAUGCGGUAUUAGCAGUCGUUUCCAACUGUUAUCCCCCUCGACUGGGCAAUUUCCCAGGCAUUACUCACCCGUCCGCCGCUCGCCGGCAAAAGUAGCAAGCUACUUUCCCGCUGCCGCUCGACUUGCAUGUGUUAGGCCUGCCGCCAGCG
Molecule: ribosomal RNA, 438 nt
Filed under: Aeromonas hydrophila
Lineage: Bacteria; Pseudomonadati; Pseudomonadota; Gammaproteobacteria; Aeromonadales; Aeromonadaceae
Description: partial 16S rRNA
Source: RNAcentral